GUAAACCAAGGGAUUAUAUAGAGCAACACCUUAGACUUCAGAUUUCAAAUAGCAGAAAACUCUUUAACUCUGUUUCCUGCAGAGUUAGAAACAUCAAAGCUUAUUCCAGCAAGCAACUGGAAAGGAACUAAUGAUUGUGAGAAAGUGUUCAUCUUUAGAUCUUGAAAUCAAUGUCCCUAAUUUCUUGCUGGAGAUUAGACAAGAGUAAAACAAUAUGUUUAGUCUCAAAGCUUCUCUAAGAACCAACUAACAAGGAAAUGUUUUAAUGAAAAUCCAUACAGUGCUGAUUAUACUGUCAAUAAUAAUGAAAAUGUUUCUGUUGGUCUUCAGGGAAGUGGGUUAGAUAUUGCAGCAUCUUGACAUAGAAGUUGCCAGCUAAGUGCAUUUUUUUUCUGGAGACCUGUCAAAAUCUAACACGACAGUAUGUUCCUUCUGCGUGAGAUGAAAUAGCUACACUGCCAGUUAGAAUAUGUCAACAUGGUAAAUUUUCGCCUCUCUGGAAGUGGGCAGCUUGAUGAUUGCAGCCUGACUGUGACACCAAGGAACAUUACUGUCGGCUCUGCUACCUGAGACCAGAGAGGAAAUACAAAGCAGGAGUCUCCAGAUCUAUUAUAGCUGCCUCUCACUUGACAACAGUUCAGUUUUAUCCAGCUGGACGUACCUUCUUACAUAAGGGCUGCUCCACCUUCCUCUGUCCUCUUCAUAUGAUGCCCUCACUAUCAUACAUCAUCCUAACUGUGAUGAGGAAAUGGGAAUCUCUAGAAGUUAUUUAACCUCUUUUAGACUUUUUUUUUUUCCUUUGGAUAAGCAAAAACAAUUUUUCAGAUGUCUUCUCCACUGGUCAAUGGAAGCAAGAAAGAUUCUUUUUUCGAUGAGGCAUGUUGAGUUGUCUAAGGGGCACGGAUAGCUCCUUGGCUCAAAUGUGGAGGAGGAAGCAAUAUGAUGACAGUUACAUAUUUUAAUAGAUUCCCAAGGAAGCUUUACUGGUAAGGUUAUUAUUUACUCACCCUAGC
Molecule: long non-coding RNA, 1013 nt
Filed under: Anas platyrhynchos platyrhynchos (common mallard)
Lineage: Eukaryota; Metazoa; Chordata; Aves; Anseriformes; Anatidae
Description: lncRNA (ENSAPLG00000027563.1)
Source: RNAcentral